UUUUAUGGAGAGUUUGAUCCUGGCUCAGGAUGAACGCUGGCGGCGUGCCUAAUACAUGCAAGUCGAGCGAACGGACGAGAAGCUUGCUUCUCUGAUGUUAGCGGCGGACGGGUGAGUAACACGUGGAUAACCUACCUAUAAGACUGGGAUAACUUCGGGAAACCGGAGCUAAUACCGGAUAAUAUUUUGAACCGCAUGGUUCAAAAGUGAAAGACGGUCUUGCUGUCACUUAUAGAUGGAUCCGCGCUGCAUUAGCUAGUUGGUAAGGUAACGGCUUACCAAGGCAACGAUGCAUAGCCGACCUGAGAGGGUGAUCGGCCACACUGGAACUGAGACACGGUCCAGACUCCUACGGGAGGCAGCAGUAGGGAAUCUUCCGC
This 380-nucleotide ribosomal RNA is filed under the name Staphylococcus aureus. RNAcentral's name for it is "bacterial SSU rRNA". It matches the Rfam family "Bacterial small subunit ribosomal RNA", at positions 1 to 369 of the family's 1533-position model. The record is from RNAcentral. Lineage: Bacteria; Bacillati; Bacillota; Bacilli; Caryophanales; Staphylococcaceae. RNAcentral also lists the same sequence under 1 other name.